AAAUGAAUAGACGGGGGCCCGCACAAGCAGUGGAGUAUGUGGUUUAAUUCGAAGCAACGCGAAGAACCUUACCAGGGCUUGACAUACCAUUGACGUACUUAGAGAUAGGUAUUUCCUUCGGGACAAUGGAUACAGGUGGUGCAUGGUUGUCGUCAGCUCGUGUCGUGAGAUGUUGGGUUAAGUCCCGCAACGAGCGCAACCCCUGUUGUUAGUUGCCAUCAUUAAGUUGGGCACUCUAGCGAGACUGCCGGUGACAAAUCGGAGGAAGGUGGGGACGACGUCAAAUCAUCAUGCCCCUUAUGUCCUGGGCUACACACGUACUACAAUGGCUAUUACAGAGGGAAGCGAAGCCGCGAGGUGGAGCAAAUCUCCAAAAAUAGUCCCAGUUCAGAUUGUAGGCUGAAACUCGCCUACAUGAAGUCGGAAUUGCUAGUAAUGGCAGGUCAGCAUACUGCCGUGAAUACGUUCCCGGGCCUUGUACACACCGCCCGU
This 492-nucleotide ribosomal RNA is filed under the name uncultured bacterium. Its description in RNAcentral is "bacterial SSU rRNA". It matches the Rfam family "Bacterial small subunit ribosomal RNA", at positions 903 to 1397 of the family's 1533-position model. The record is from RNAcentral.